UUUAACUGAAGAGUUUGAUCAUGGCUCAGAUUGAACGCUGGCGGCAGGCUUAACACAUGCAAGUCGAGCGGGGGAAGGUAGCUUGCUACUGGACCUAGCGGCGGACGGGUGAGUAAUGCUUAGGAAUCUGCCUAUUAGUGGGGGACAACAUCUCGAAAGGGAUGCUAAUACCG
RNAcentral lists this ribosomal RNA (173 nucleotides) under Acinetobacter baumannii. RNAcentral describes it as "partial 16S ribosomal RNA". It matches the Rfam family "Bacterial small subunit ribosomal RNA", at positions 1 to 171 of the family's 1533-position model. Lineage: Bacteria; Pseudomonadati; Pseudomonadota; Gammaproteobacteria; Moraxellales; Moraxellaceae. The record is from RNAcentral.